AUGAAGUCACUCCAUAAUCUGCAAAUCAGAACCAAGUAAAUUCUCAGAUGCUACAGAGGUAAAGAAACUAAAAUUUUGUUCAAGCCUUUUGUUUUAAAUGGCCGAGAUAAUUUACCUACCUAUCCCCAAGGACACCAACCUCUUUACAACUUAAAACGAUGCCCUAAUGCAAAAACUGCUCAUAGGUAUGCCUUAAAAAUGAAAUUCUUCACUAUAAAAAUGAAAUUCUUGACUACCAUAUCAGUAUCAACAACUCAUUGGCUAGAGAAACACCUACUCUUUUCAACGACUUAAUGAGAUUCUCUGUGCCUUACCCAUUUCUUUUUACACAUAUUGCAUUACCUUGAAAAGAUCUGCUUUUUAUUUCUAAUUAAGGGUACAGCAACUCACUAGCUUCUAUAUUGGUCUUAAAGAACAAGACAAUGCAGAACAAUAAAGGCAAUAAAGUAAUGGCUGAUUUUGAGCUCUGCUCCAAGAAAAUAACUUUAAGAACUGAACAUUUAUCAAACAAACUGUUUGGACACGUAAAAUCAAAAUAGCCCAUCAUUAAGAUAAUGUCAGAUGAACAGAUUAUUUUAAGACAGCAAAUGAUUAGACAAACAAUACGCCAUCAUUUAACAAAUUACACUCAGAAAAACCCUCAACCAUUCACAAGAAUAAUAUAUAUAUAUAUGUGUGUGUGU
RNAcentral lists this unclassified non-coding RNA (683 nucleotides) under Hevea brasiliensis (rubber tree). The record is from RNAcentral. Lineage: Eukaryota; Viridiplantae; Streptophyta; Magnoliopsida; Malpighiales; Euphorbiaceae.